GUAGGGUGCGAGCGUUAAUCGGAAUUACUGGGCGUAAAGCGUGCGCAGGCGGUUAUAUAAGACAGAUGUGAAAUCCCCGCGGCUCCACCCGGGGACCUGCAUUUGUGACUGUAUAGCUAGAGUACGGUAGAGGGGGAUGGAAUUCCGCGUGUAGCAGUGAAAUGCGUAGAUAUGCGGAGGAACACCGAUGGCGAAGGCAAUCCCCUGGACCUGUACUGACGCUCAUGCACGAAAGCGUGGGGAGCAAACAGGAUUAGAUACCCUGGUAGUCCACGCCCUAAACGAUGUCAACUGGUUGUUGGGUCUUCACUGACUCAGUAACGAAGCUAACGCGUGAAGUUGACCGCCUGGGGAGUACGGCCGCAAGGUUG
This 371-nucleotide ribosomal RNA is filed under the name uncultured bacterium. RNAcentral describes it as "bacterial SSU rRNA". It matches the Rfam family "Bacterial small subunit ribosomal RNA", at positions 527 to 896 of the family's 1533-position model. The record is from RNAcentral.